Small nuclear RNA from Pteropus vampyrus (large flying fox), 107 nucleotides. The record is from Ensembl. NCBI's taxonomy places the organism in Eukaryota, Metazoa, Chordata, Mammalia, Chiroptera, Pteropodidae.
GUGCUCACCUCAACAGCACAUAUACUAAAAUUAGAACAAUACAGAAAAGGUUAGCAUGGCCCCUGUGCAAAGAUGACAUGCAUAUUUGUAAAGUGUUCCAUAUUUUC